Molecule: ribosomal RNA, 253 nt
Filed under: uncultured Pelagibacterales bacterium
Lineage: Bacteria; Pseudomonadati; Pseudomonadota; Alphaproteobacteria; Candidatus Pelagibacterales
Description: partial 16S ribosomal RNA
Rfam family: Bacterial small subunit ribosomal RNA
Source: RNAcentral
UACGAAGGGACCUAGCGUAGUUCGGAAUUACUGGGCUUAAAGAGCUCGUAGGUGGUUAAAAUAGUUGAUGGUGAAAUCCCAAGGCUCAACCUUGGAACUGCCAUCAAAACUUUUUAGCUAGAGUGUGAUAGAGGUAAGUGGAAUUUCUAGUGUAGAGGUGAAAUUCGUAGAUAUUAGAAAGAACACCAAAUGCGAAGGCAACUUACUGGGUCACUACUGACACUGAGGAGCGAAAGCAUGGGUAGCGAAGAGG